AACAGCUGGAAACGGCUGCUAAUACCGAAUACGUCUUUUCAUCGCAUGGUGAGAAGAAGAAAAGGACGGCCUCUACACAAAGCGGUCGCCGAAGGAGGGGUUUUUGCGUCUGAUUAGCUAGUUGGAGGGGUAACGGCCCAACAAGGCGACGAUCAGUAGCCCGGUCUGAGAGGAUGAACGGCCACAUUGGGGACUGAGACACGGCCCAGACUCCUACGGGAGGCAGCAGUGGGGAAUCUUCCGCAAUGGACGAAGGUCUGACGGAGCAACGCCGCGUGAGUGAAGACGGUCUUCGGAUUGUAAAGCUCUGUUAUACGGGACGAACGGCAAGGUGGUAAAUAGCCAUCAUGAGUGACGGUACCGUAAGAGAAAGCCACGGCUAACUACGUGCCAGCAGCCGCGGUAAU
RNAcentral lists this ribosomal RNA (407 nucleotides) under uncultured Veillonellaceae bacterium. Its description in RNAcentral is "bacterial SSU rRNA". It matches the Rfam family "Bacterial small subunit ribosomal RNA", at positions 145 to 524 of the family's 1533-position model. Lineage: Bacteria; Bacillati; Bacillota; Negativicutes; Veillonellales; Veillonellaceae. The record is from RNAcentral.